CCAAUAGCGUAUAUUAAAGUUGUUGCAGUUAAAAAGCUCGUAGUUGAAUUUCGGGGUUAGUAGGUUGGUCAUGCCUCUGGUAUGUACUGGUCUCACUGAUUCCUCCUUCCUGAUGAGCCGUAAUGCCAUUAAUUUGGUGUUGCGGGGAAUUUGGACUGUUACUUUGAAAAAAUUAGUGUGUUUAAAGCAAGCUAACGCUUGAAUACAUUAGCAUGGAAUAAUGAAAUAGGACGUUCGAUCCUAUUUUGUUGGUUUCUAGGAUUGACGUAAUGAUUAAUAGGGAUAGUUGGGGGCAUUAGUAUUCUAUUGUCAGAGGUGAAAUUCUUGGAUUUAUUGAAGACUAACUACUGCGAAAGCAUUUGCCAAGGAUGUUUUCAUUAAUCAAGAACGAAAGUUAGGGGAUCGAAGACGAUCAGAUACCGUCGUAGUCUUAACCAUAAACUAUGCCGACUAGGGAUCGGAUGAUGUUAAUUUUUUAAUGACUCAUUCGGCGCCUUACG
This 500-nucleotide ribosomal RNA is filed under the name uncultured Glomeromycotina. RNAcentral's name for it is "partial small subunit ribosomal RNA". It matches the Rfam family "Eukaryotic small subunit ribosomal RNA", at positions 591 to 1092 of the family's 1831-position model. Lineage: Eukaryota; Fungi; Glomeromycota. The record is from RNAcentral.